This 96-nucleotide transfer RNA is filed under the name Blastocystis hominis. It matches the Rfam family "tRNA". From Rfam's summary of the family: Transfer RNA (tRNA) molecules are approximately 80 nucleotides in length. Their secondary structure includes four short double-helical elements and three loops (D, anti-codon, and T loops). Lineage: Eukaryota; Bigyra; Opalinata; Blastocystidae. The record is from Rfam by way of RNAcentral.
AGGUUUAUAGCUCAAUGGAAGAGCUACCGAUCUUUCAUUCUCCCUGUCAGAAUAACUUAGCCGCGGUAGACGCAAGUUCGAUUCUUGCAAAAUCUC